Molecule: ribosomal RNA, 308 nt
Filed under: uncultured bacterium
Lineage: Bacteria
Description: bacterial SSU rRNA
Rfam family: Bacterial small subunit ribosomal RNA
Source: RNAcentral
AUGGCAAAUACAUGUGCCAGCAGCCGCGGUAAUACAUGAGUGGCUAGCGUUACUCGUAGUUACUGAGCGUACAGGAUGCGUAGACUGUUUAAACGCAAAAAAUAACUAAAUUAUUUGUAUUUAAAUUUAUUUUUUGCAAAUAAAACUUGAAUAUUUUAAAAGUUUAUAAUUGUUACAAAUGAGUGAUAAAAUACUGAGAGUUAGUAAUUAUUUCCAAUUGGUGAAGACAUUAUGCUAUAAAAUAUUGACGUUGAUGCAUUAAAGUAUAGUUAACAACUAGGAUUUGAGACCCUACUAGUCUAUACCUU